CAGUUGAGUGAGUUGACAAUGUGAUUCAGCUGAGUGAGUUGACAAUGUGAUUCAGCUGAGUGAGUUGACAAUGGAAUUCAGCUGAGUGAUGUGACAAUGGGAUUCAGCUGAGUGAUGGGACAAUGGAAUUCAGCUGAGUGAUGUGACAAUGGGAUUCAGCUGAGUGACGGGACAAUGGAAUUCAGCUGAGUGAUAUGACAAUGGGAUUCAGCUGAGUGAGUUGACAAUGGAAUUCAGCUGAGUGAUUUGACAAUGGGAUUCAGCUGAGUGAUUGGACAGUGGAAUUCAGCUGAGUGAUGGGACAGUGGGAUUCAGCUGAGUGACGGGAGAAUGGAAUUCAGUUGAGUGAUGGGACAAUGGGACACACGCGAGUGAGUUGACAAUGGGAUUCAGCUGAGUGAGUUGACAAUGGAAUUCAACUGAGUGAUGGGACAGUGGGAUUCAGUUGAGUGAUGUGACAAUCGGAUUCAACCAGGUGAUGUGACAAUCGGAUUCAACUGGGUGAUGUGACAAUCGGAUUCAACUGGGUGAUGUGACAGUGGUAUUCAGUUGAGUUAGCAAUUGAUCUGUUUUAUUGAUUUGUGUGAAUUGACAUUUGCAUGACAAGUCAGAUAUAUAUAUCCGUGUUAAUAUCGGUGACUCUUUUUAAAGUGGUAAUACAGGUGAUUAAUAUUAGCCUCAUCUGUACAGCUACAACAGUUAGUUCAGCUUCAGGCCACAUCUUGUCUGAACUGGUUUACUCCCAAAAGAAAAGUAGUAAAAGGCAGAUGAAUCCUAUCUGUUCCCAAACUCGAUCAUUUCAUGAGGCAGUUAUAUUUACUGACUCGGAAUUCAGACCUCAACCAAGCGUAUUAGAAAGAUCCUUCACCUCAAGCUGGCAAGAGGAAGACUGGAACAGCUGGCUGGCACAUGUACUCCGUUUGUUCUUAUGUGAAAUCAAAUCGACCAAUUCGUCGACGUAAUAAACGCGAAGACGUCAUAAUCACGAGACUUCGUCUUGUACACUGUGGUUUAACUCUGCGUCACUGAUAAAGAGGUCUCUCCCUUAUGUACACAUUGUCACGGAAAUACUCUCGAGACAGUGAAAUGAUAUCAGAUUAAAUUUACGAAGUGCAGUACUUCAGAAGGAAAGCUCAUUUUCUCUAAGUACACGUUUGGGCCCCAACAUAUUUUAUGGUUCAAUUCUGCGGGCAAUAUUAGACUUCGUGUGUGCAUCGGGAAAAUGAUUGAUAUAUUAUAAAAUUUUGAUAAACACAUACAUCUGUAUGAACUUUUAAACCAAUUUAAAGACCACUCCUUAUCUGA
Long non-coding RNA from Haliotis rubra (blacklip abalone), 1305 nucleotides. RefSeq lists it as uncharacterized. NCBI's taxonomy places the organism in Eukaryota, Metazoa, Mollusca, Gastropoda, Lepetellida, Haliotidae. The record is from RefSeq and is a predicted model, not a curated record. The transcript has 2 exons.